This 378-nucleotide unclassified non-coding RNA is filed under the name uncultured Actinomycetes bacterium. RNAcentral describes it as "uncultured actinobacterium contains 16S-23S intergenic spacer region". Lineage: Bacteria; Bacillati; Actinomycetota; Actinomycetes. The record is from RNAcentral.
UCCGGUUUAUCACCGGCAGUCUCCACAGAGUCCUCGGCUUUACCCGUUAGUAACUGUGAACAAGGGUUGCGCUCGUUGCGGGACUUAACCCAACAUCUCACGACACGAGCUGACGACAGCCAUGCACCACCUGUGCACCGGCCCCGAAAGGCUGCCGUAUUUCUACGGCAUUCCAGUGCAUGUCAAGCCUUGGUAAGGUUCUUCGCGUUGCUUCGAAUUAAUCCACAUGCUCCGCCGCUUGUGCGGGCCCCCGUCAAUUCCUUUGUGUUUUAGCCUUGCGGCCGUACUCCCCAGGCGGGGCGCUUAAUGCGUUAGCUACGGCACGGAUUCCGUGGAAGGAACCCACACCUAGCGCCCACCGUUUACGGCGUGGACUAC